GUCUACAGCCAUGCCACCCUGAACAAGCCCGAACCCGUCUGAUCUCAGAAGCUAAUCAGGGUCAGGCCUGGUUAGUACUUGGAUGGGAGACCACCUAGGAAGACCAGGUGUUGUAGACA
This 119-nucleotide ribosomal RNA is filed under the name Pteropus alecto (black flying fox). Lineage: Eukaryota; Metazoa; Chordata; Mammalia; Chiroptera; Pteropodidae. The record is from RNAcentral.